This 483-nucleotide ribosomal RNA is filed under the name uncultured Glomus. RNAcentral's name for it is "SSU rRNA". It matches the Rfam family "Eukaryotic small subunit ribosomal RNA", at positions 569 to 1057 of the family's 1831-position model. The record is from RNAcentral. Lineage: Eukaryota; Fungi; Glomeromycota; Glomeromycetes; Glomerales; Glomeraceae.
AGCAGCCGCGGUAAUUCCAGCUCCAAUAGCGUAUAUUAAAGUUGUUGCAGUUAAAAAGCUCGUAGUUGAAUUUCGGGACCAAUUUGUUGGUCGUGCCUCGGUACGUACUGGUAUUAUUGGUUUCUCCCUUCUGAAGAACCAUGAUGCCAUUAAUUUGGUGUCGUGGGGAAUCAGGACUGUUACUUUGAAAAAAUUAGAGUGUUUAAAGCAGGCAUACGCUUGAAUACAUUAGCAUGGAAUAAUGAAAUAGGACGUUUGAUUCUAUUUUGUUGGUUUCUAGGAUCGACGUAAUGAUUAAUAGGGAUAGUUGGGGGCAUUAGUAUUCAAUUGUCAGAGGUGAAAUUCUUGGAUUUAUUGAAGACUAACUACUGCGAAAGCAUUUGCCAAGGAUGUUUUCAUUAAUCAAGAACGAAAGUUAGGGGAUCGAAGACGAUCAGAUACCGUCGUAGUCUUAACCAUAAACUAUGCCGACUAGGGGAUCGG